This 373-nucleotide ribosomal RNA is filed under the name uncultured organism. RNAcentral's name for it is "partial 16S ribosomal RNA". It matches the Rfam family "Bacterial small subunit ribosomal RNA", at positions 527 to 896 of the family's 1533-position model. The record is from RNAcentral.
GUAAGUGGCAAGCGUUGUCCGGAAUUAUUGGGCGUAAAGCGCGCGCAGGCGGUUCUUUAAGUCUGAUGUGAAAGCCCACGGCUCAACCGUGGAGGGUCAUUGGAAACUGGAGAACUUGAGUACAGAAGAGGAAAGCGGAAUUCCACGUGUAGCGGUGAAAUGCGUAGAGAUGUGGAGGAACACCAGUGGCGAAGGCGGCUUUCUGGUCUGUAACUGACGCUGAGGCGCGAAAGCGUGGGGAGCAAACAGGAUUAGAUACCCUGGUAGUCCACGCCGUAAACGAUGAGUGCUAAGUGUUAGGGGGGUUUCCGCCCCCCUUAGUGCUGCAGCUAACGCAUUAAGCACUCCGCCUGGGAGUACGGCCGCAAGGCUG